CCCCCAACUUUCUGAAGUUUGACCUCGAAUCAGGUAGGAUUACCCGCUGAACUUAAGCAUAUCAAUAAGCGGAGGAAAAGAAACCAACAGGGAUUGCCCUAGUAACGGCGAGUGAAGCGGCAACAGCUCAAAUUUGAAAUCUGGCCCUCGGGUCCGAGUUGUAAUUUGUAGAGGAUGCUUUUGGUGAGGUACCUUCCGAGUUCCCUGGAACGGGACGCCAUAGAGGGUGAGAGCCCCGUCUGGUUGGAUACCGAUCCUCUGUAAAGCUCCUUCAACGAGUCGAGUAGUUUGGGAAUGCUGCUCUAAAUGGGAGGUAUAUGUCUUCUAAAGCUAAAUAUUGGCCAGAGACCGAUAGCGCACAAGUAGAGUGAUCGAAAGAUGAAAAGCACUUUGAAAAGAGAGUUAAAAAGUACGUGAAAUUGUUGAAAGGGAAGCGCUUAUGACCAGACUUGGACUUGGUUGAUCAUCCUGGGUUCUCCCUGGUGCACUCUUCCAGUUCAGGCCAGCAUCAGUUCAUCGCGGGGGAUAAAGGCUUUAGGAAUGUGGCUCCUUCGGGAGUGUUAUAACCUAUUGUGUAAUACCCUGCUUUGGACUGAGGUUCGCGCAUCUGCAAGGAUGCUGGCGUAAUGGUCAUCAGCGACCCGUCUUGAAACACGGACCAAGGAGUCGUCUUCGUAUGCGAGUGUUCGGGUGUUAAACCCCUACGCGUAAUGAAAGUGAACGCAGGUGAGAGCUUCGGCGCAUCAUCGACCGAUCCUGAUGUUCUCGGAUGGAUUUGAGUAAGAGCAUACGGGGCCGGACCCGAAAGAAGGUGAACUAUGCCUGUAUAGGGUGAAGCCAGAGGAAACUCUGGUGGAGGCUCGCAGCGGUUCUGACGUGCAAAUCGAUCGUCAAAUAUGGGCAUGGGGGCGAAAGACUAAUCGAACCUUCUAGUAGCUGGUUUCCGCCGAAGUUCCCCCUCAGA
RNAcentral lists this ribosomal RNA (964 nucleotides) under Cylindrocladiella stellenboschensis. RNAcentral describes it as "eukaryotic LSU rRNA". It matches the Rfam family "Eukaryotic large subunit ribosomal RNA", at positions 1 to 977 of the family's 3401-position model. The record is from RNAcentral. Lineage: Eukaryota; Fungi; Ascomycota; Sordariomycetes; Hypocreales; Nectriaceae.